CGAACGCUGGCGGCGUGCUUAUCACAUGCAAGUCGAACGGAAAGGCCCUGCUUUUGUGGGGUGCUCGAGUGGCGAACGGGUGAGUAACACGUGAGUAACCUGCCCUUGACUUUGGGAUAACUUCAGGAAACUGGGGCUAAUACCGGAUAGGAGCUCCUGCUGCAUGGUGGGGGUUGGAAAGUUUCGGCGGUUGGGGAUGGACUCGCGGCUUAUCAGCUUGUUGGUGGGGUAGUGGCUUACCAAGGCUUUGACGGGUAGCCGGCCUGAGAGGGUGACCGGCCACAUUGGGACUGAGAUACGGCCCAGACUCCUACGGGAGGCAGCAGUGGGGAAUAUUGCACAAUGGGCGGAAGCCUGAUGCAGCAACGCCGCGUGCGGGAUGACGGCCUUCGGGUUGUAAACCGCUUUCGCCUGUGACGAAGCGUGAGUGACGGUAAUGGGUAAAGAAGCACCGGCUAACUACGUG
This 466-nucleotide ribosomal RNA is filed under the name uncultured bacterium. RNAcentral's name for it is "partial 16S ribosomal RNA". It matches the Rfam family "Bacterial small subunit ribosomal RNA", at positions 30 to 507 of the family's 1533-position model. The record is from RNAcentral.